RNAcentral lists this ribosomal RNA (427 nucleotides) under uncultured prokaryote. RNAcentral describes it as "bacterial SSU rRNA". It matches the Rfam family "Bacterial small subunit ribosomal RNA", at positions 355 to 774 of the family's 1533-position model. The record is from RNAcentral.
UCGAGAAUAAUUCGCAAUGGACGAAAGUCUGACGAUGCGACGCCGCAUGAACGAUGAAGGCCUUCGGGUUGUAACGUUCUGUUGCCUUGGAACAAGAGUAAGUGAUGAAUAAGCACUUACAAUGAGGGUACAAGGAGAGGAAGCACCAGCUAAUUCCGUGCCAGCAGCUGCGGUAAUACGGAAGGUGCAAGCGUUAGUCGGAAUUACUGGGCGUAAAGGGUGCGUAGGCGGUGAUAUAAGUCGGACGUGAAAUUCCGGGGCUUAACCUCGGAGCUGCGUUUGAUACUGUAUUGCUAGAGGAAUGGCGGAGAAAAUGGAAUUCCAUAUGUAGCGGUGAAAUGCGUAGAUAUAUGGAAGAACACCUGUGGCGAAAGCGGUUUUCUAGCCUACUCCUGACGCUGAGGCACGAAAGCAAGGGGAGCAAACA